ACGGCGAGUGAAGCGGCAACAGCUCAAAUUUGAAAUCUGGCCCUCGGGUCCGAGUUGUAAUUUGUAGAGGAUGCAUUUGGCGCGGUGCCUUCCAAGUUCCCUGGAACGGGACGCCUUUGAGGGUGAGAGCCCCGAACGGUCGGUUACCAAGCCUCUGUAAUGCUCCUUCGACGAGUCGAGUAGUUUGGGAAUGCUGCUCUAAAUGGGAGGUAUAUGUCUUCUAAAGCUAAAUACCGGCCAGAGACCGAUAGCGCACAAGUAGAGUGAUCGAAAGAUGAAAAGCACUUUGAAAAGAGAGUUAAAAAGUACGUGAAAUUGUUGAAAGGGAAGCGCUCAUGACCAGACUUGGGCGUGUUAGAUCAACCAGGGUUCUCCCCGGUGCACUCUCUCACGCCCAGGCCAGCAUCAGUUCGCGGCGGGGGACAAAAGCUUCGGGAAUGUGGCUCCCUCGGGAGUGUUAUAGCCCGUUGCACAAUACCCUGCCGUGGACUGAGGUCCGCGCAUCUGCAAGGAU
Molecule: ribosomal RNA, 514 nt
Filed under: Macronectria jungneri
Lineage: Eukaryota; Fungi; Ascomycota; Sordariomycetes; Hypocreales; Nectriaceae
Description: partial large subunit ribosomal RNA
Rfam family: Eukaryotic large subunit ribosomal RNA
Source: RNAcentral